CGGACAGCCCAGGAGACUGAAGUCUCCUAUUUAGCCACUAAACAGGUGCACAGCAACAGCACAACCCUGGUCUACUGGCAUGCCUUUAACCCUUAUCUGUGGGAGCACCUUUCCAAGGUGAAAGGAGAGCUCAGCCUUCCUACUCAUUUCAAACCCUGUCCAAU
RNAcentral lists this small RNA (164 nucleotides) under Gopherus agassizii (Agassiz's desert tortoise). Its description in RNAcentral is "TUC338 (ENSGAGG00000016521.1)". Lineage: Eukaryota; Metazoa; Chordata; Testudines; Testudinidae. The record is from RNAcentral.